This is a small nucleolar RNA of Raphanus sativus (radish), 108 nucleotides long. The record is from RefSeq and is a predicted model, not a curated record. NCBI's taxonomy places the organism in Eukaryota, Viridiplantae, Streptophyta, Magnoliopsida, Brassicales, Brassicaceae.
AACCCAUGGUGAGGGCAUUCCCUUUGGUACUAUUUGUAUCGCUUCCAAGCAUCAUGGAAAGGCUCGUCUGAUUUUUGUUUGAAAUUGGUGAUCCUUUGCCUUAAUGCU